RNAcentral lists this ribosomal RNA (253 nucleotides) under uncultured bacterium. Its description in RNAcentral is "partial 16S ribosomal RNA". It matches the Rfam family "Bacterial small subunit ribosomal RNA", at positions 524 to 776 of the family's 1533-position model. The record is from RNAcentral.
UACGGAGGGGGCAAGCGUUAAUCGGAAUUACUGGGCGUAAAGCGCACGUAGGUGGUUUGCUAAGCCAGCUGUGAAAUCCCCGGGCUCAACCUGGGCACUGCAGUUGGAACUGGCAAGCUAGAGUAGGGUAGAGGGGUGUGGAAUUCCAGGUGUAGCGGUGAAAUGCGUAGAUAUCUGGAGGAACAUCAGUGGCGAAGGCGACACCCUGGACUCAUACUGACACUGAGGUGCGAAAGCGUGGGGAGCAAACAGG